Molecule: ribosomal RNA, 429 nt
Filed under: Bacteroidota bacterium
Lineage: Bacteria; Pseudomonadati; Bacteroidota
Description: Bacteroidetes bacterium partial 16S ribosomal RNA
Rfam family: Bacterial small subunit ribosomal RNA
Source: RNAcentral
UAGGGAAUCUUCCGCAAUGGACGCAAGUCUGACGGAGCAACGCCGCGUGAGUGAAGAAGGAUUUCGGUUCGUAAAACUCUGUUGUUAGAGAAGAACAGCGCAUAGAGUAACUGUUAUGCGUGUGACGGUAUCUAACCAGAAAGCCACGGCUAACUACGUGCCAGCAGCCGCGGUAAUACGUAGGUGGCAAGCGUUGUCCGGAUUUAUUGGGCGUAAAGCGAGCGCAGGCGGUCAAUUAAGUCUGAUGUGAAAGCCCCCGGCUCAACCGGGGAGGGUCAUUGGAAACUGGUUGAAUUGAGAGCAGAAGAGGAGAGUGGAAUUCCAUGUGUAGCGGUGAAAUGCGUAGAUAUAUGGAGGGACACCAGUGGCGAAGGCGACUCUCUGGUCUGUAACUAACGCUGAGGCUCGAAAGCGUGGGUAGCAAACAGG